CCGUAUGCUCAAGUUUCACCCAGUGUAGAAGACAGGGGGGGCUGUAUCCUUUCCUCUGCCCCCAGGUCCCCACUUUGGCACCCCAGGCUAUGGAAGCCCCCACUUCACCACACUCUACUCAGUCCCUUUUCCUGAGGGCGAGGCCUUUCCCUCUGUUCCCGUCACUGCUCUGGGCUCUCCCAUGCAUUCAAACUGAGGCACCAGCCCUCCCUGGGGAUGCUGUGAGCCAAGGCAAGGGAGGUAGACAAGAGAACCUGGAGCUUUGGGGUUAAAUUCUUUUACUGAGGAGGGAUUAAAAGCACAACAGGGGUGGGGGGUGGGAUGGGGAAAGAAGCUCAGUGAUGCUGUUGAUCAGGAGCCUGGCCUGUCUGUCACUCAUCAUUUUGUUCUUAAA
Molecule: RNA transcript, 394 nt
Organism: Mus musculus (house mouse)
Lineage: Eukaryota; Metazoa; Chordata; Mammalia; Rodentia; Muridae
Gene: Pou5f1-rs1
Gene name: POU domain, class 5, transcription factor 1, related sequence 1
Exons: 1
Source: RefSeq, marked validated